GACGAACGCUGGCGGCGUGCUUAACACAUGCAAGUCGAACGGAAAGGCCCUGCUUUUGUGGGGUGCUCGAGUGGCGACCGGGUGAGUAACACGUGAGUAACCUGCCCUUGACUUUGGGAUAACUUCAGGCAACUUGGGCUAAUACCGGAUAGGAGCUCCUGCUGCUUGGUGGGGGUUGGAUAGUUUCGGCGGUUGGGGAUGGACUCGCGGCUUAUCAGCUUGUUGGUGGGGUAGUGGCUUACCAAGGCUUUGACGGGUAGCCGGCCUGAGAGGGUGACCGGCCACAUUGGGACUGGGAUGCGGCCCAGACUCCAACGGGAGGCAGGGGUGGGGAAUAGUGCACAAGGGGCGGAAGCCUGAUGCAGCAAAGCAGCGUGCGGGAUGACGGCAUUCGGGUUGUAAACCGCUGUCGCCUGUGACGAAGCGUGAGUGACGGUAAUGGGUAAAGAAGCACCGGCUAACUACGUG
RNAcentral lists this ribosomal RNA (468 nucleotides) under uncultured bacterium. RNAcentral's name for it is "partial 16S ribosomal RNA". It matches the Rfam family "Bacterial small subunit ribosomal RNA", at positions 28 to 507 of the family's 1533-position model. The record is from RNAcentral.